This is a non-coding RNA of Pelobates cultripes (western spadefoot toad), 231 nucleotides long. The record is from the annotation of a GenBank genome assembly. NCBI's taxonomy places the organism in Eukaryota, Metazoa, Chordata, Amphibia, Anura, Pelobatidae.
GCGUGGCUGCAUUCAGCUAUUUAUGUUAACAAACAAAUGAUUAGCAAACCCGUUAAAAAUUGUGUGCCCAGAAACCAUAGGAGGCAGGUAUAUAUGUGAGUCAUUGCUAAACCAACUUACCGUAUAUACUCGAGUAUAAGUCAACCCGAAUAUAAGUCGAGACCCCUAAUUUUACCCCCAAAAACUGGGAAAACGUAUUGACUCGAUGAUAAGACUAGGGUGGAAAAUGCU